GAUCCUGGCUCAGAAUCAACGCUGGCGGCGUGCCUCAGACAUGCAAGUCGAACGAUUAAACUUCUCUUCGGAGAAGAUAUAAAGUGGCGCACGGGUGAGUAACACGUAAGUAAUCUACCUUCGGAUGGGGAAUAACAGUCGGAAACGACUGCUAAUACCGCAUAAUGCAGCGGCAUCAUAAGAUGACAGUUGUUAAAGUAUUUAUACGUCUGGAGAGGAGCUUGCGGCAGAUUAGCUAGUUGGUAAGGUAACGGCUUACCAAGGCUACGAUCUGUAUCCGACCUGAGAGGGUGGUCGGACACACUGACACUGAAUAACGGGUCAGACUCCUACGGGGGGCAGCAGUCGGGAAUUUUGGGCAAUGGGCGAAAGCCUGACCCAGCAACGCCGCGUGAAGGAUGAAGUCUUUCGGGAUGUAAACUUCGUAAGAAUAGGAAGAAUAAAUGACGGUACUAUUUGUAAGGUCCGGCUAACUACGUGCCAGCAGCCGCGGUAAUACGUAGGGACCAAGCGUUGUUCGGAUUUACUGGGCGUAAAGGGCGCGUAGGCGGCGUGACAAGUCACUUGUGAAAUCUCCGGGCUUAACUCGGAACGGUCAAGUGAUACUGUUGUGCUAGAGUGCAGAAGGGGCAAUCGGAAUUCUUGGUGUAGCGGUGAAAUGCGUAGAUAUCAAGAGGAACACCUGAGGUG
Molecule: ribosomal RNA, 690 nt
Filed under: uncultured Acidobacteriota bacterium
Lineage: Bacteria; Pseudomonadati; Acidobacteriota
Description: bacterial SSU rRNA
Rfam family: Bacterial small subunit ribosomal RNA
Source: RNAcentral